UACAGAGGUCCCGAGCGUUGUUCGGAUUCAUUGGGCGUAAAGCGCACGUAGGCGGCUUUGUAAGUUAGAGGUGAAAGCCCAGGGCUUAACCCUGGAAUUGCCUUUAAGACUGCAUCGCUAGAAUCGUGGAGAGGUGAGUGGAAUUCCGAGUGUAGAGGUGAAAUUCGUAGAUAUUCGGAAGAACACCAGUGGCGAAGGCGACUCACUGGACACGUAUUGACGCUGAGGUGCGAAAGCGUGGGGAGCAAACAGG
RNAcentral lists this ribosomal RNA (253 nucleotides) under uncultured bacterium. Its description in RNAcentral is "partial 16S ribosomal RNA". It matches the Rfam family "Bacterial small subunit ribosomal RNA", at positions 524 to 776 of the family's 1533-position model. The record is from RNAcentral.